Molecule: long non-coding RNA, 237 nt
Filed under: Lathyrus oleraceus (garden pea)
Lineage: Eukaryota; Viridiplantae; Streptophyta; Magnoliopsida; Fabales; Fabaceae
Description: Pisum sativum (pea) long non-coding RNA (PSAT_LNC034903)
Source: RNAcentral
UUCACUCUAAUAUGCUUUACUUUAUCUUUGAUUGCAAACGUAAAUCGUCAAAUAUUUCUUGCAAUAAAUAAAAGUGAGUAACUAAAGAGCUUUGCAUUAACAUAAAAAUAAAAAAUUCAUGCAUCAUUUGCAUCUUUAAAAAAAACACAAACUUAUCCAUCCAUCUUUUUCUUUAUCAUAACCAUACUCCAAAGUUGACUUUUGGAUACAAUACGUGAAGACAUCAACAUGUCGUCA